RNAcentral lists this ribosomal RNA (253 nucleotides) under uncultured bacterium. RNAcentral describes it as "partial 16S ribosomal RNA". It matches the Rfam family "Bacterial small subunit ribosomal RNA", at positions 524 to 776 of the family's 1533-position model. The record is from RNAcentral.
UACGGAGGGAGCUAGCGUUGUUCGGAAUUACUGGGCGUAAAGCGCGCGUAGGCGGUUACUCAAGUCAGAGGUGAAAGCCCGGAGCUCAACUCCGGAACUGCCUCUGAAACUGCUAGGCUAGAAUCCUGGAGAGGCGAGUGGAAUUCCGAGUGUAGAGGUGAAAUUCGUAGAUAUUCGGAAGAACACCGGUGGCGAAGGCGACUCGCUGGACAGGUAUUGACGCUGAGGUGCGAAAGCGUGGGGAGCAAACAGG